RNAcentral lists this ribosomal RNA (423 nucleotides) under uncultured prokaryote. RNAcentral's name for it is "bacterial SSU rRNA". It matches the Rfam family "Bacterial small subunit ribosomal RNA", at positions 355 to 796 of the family's 1533-position model. The record is from RNAcentral.
UAACGAAUCUUCGGCAAUGCACGCAAGUGCGACCGAGCAAUGCCGCGUGGUGGAUGAAGCCCCUCGGGGUGUAAACACCUGUCAGGAGCUAGGAAAUCUGACCAGCUCCAGAGGAAGGGCCGGCUAACUCCGUGCCAGCAGCCGCGGUAAUACGGAGGGCCCGAGCGUUAAUCGGAAUCACUGGGCUUAAAGGGUGCGUAGGCGGAGACGCAAGUACUUUGUGAAAGCCCCCGGCUCAACCGGGGAAUUGCUUGGUAAACUGCGUCUCUUGAGCCCGGUAGAGGCCAUCGGAACUCUAGGUGGAGCGGUGAAAUGCGUAGAUAUCUAGAGGAACGCCAACGGCGAAGGCAGAUGGCUGGGCCGGCGCUGACGCUGAGGCACGAAAGCAUGGGUAGCGAAGAGGAUUAGAUACCCCCGUAGUCC